Molecule: long non-coding RNA, 578 nt
Organism: Ixodes scapularis (black-legged tick)
Lineage: Eukaryota; Metazoa; Arthropoda; Arachnida; Ixodida; Ixodidae
Exons: 4
Source: RefSeq, a predicted model, not a curated record
UUCCGUCCGCCAUUUGCUUCCAAGCUGCUCGGCUGCUCCGUCCGCUCGCGUGUUUCGUGACACUCGCCGACGACUUUAGCUUGACGUCCUGGUGUUUCUCGACCGUAAUGAGGCAAGUGAAGUAGUAAGCGUUUGUGUUAGAUGACGGGGUGUUGCGCUUUUGGGUGCAGCCAGAGUUCUGGUAGUGGAAAAAAGUUGUUCUGCUUCGGAAAGUCGAUCUGAAGAGGCAGAAGGCAUGGCUCCACAUGAUUGGGAGGAAAAACUUUGUCCCUACCAGAAGCAGCAAGCUUUGUGAGCUCCUGGCCUUGCCUGUGGAGUAUUUGGCCCAAGAGCUUUAUCGCCACCUACCAAUGAUGCAGGAAGGCCAGCAAGCUGCGCUUCAGACUGCCAACCCCCCCCCCCCCCCCCAGCAACAGUUCCUGCACUCACAGGCUUUGAGUCACAGGUACUAAGCUGCUCUUGGAACAGCGCCAGCAGCUCCGUGAGCUGUCGCAACAGAACACAGCCCUCAAGGAAAGCCAGGAGGAGCUGUGCCUGCGGCUGGCCCAGCUGUAGGGCCAACUUCCGAGGAGGACCGA